RNAcentral lists this ribosomal RNA (247 nucleotides) under uncultured bacterium. RNAcentral's name for it is "partial 16S ribosomal RNA". It matches the Rfam family "Bacterial small subunit ribosomal RNA", at positions 526 to 779 of the family's 1533-position model. The record is from RNAcentral.
CGGAAGGUCCGGCGUUAUCCGGAUUAUUGGUUAAGGGAGCGUAGGCCGGAGAUUAAGUGUGUUGUGAAUGUAGACGCUCAACGUCUGACUUGCAGCGCAUACUGGUUCCUUGAGUACGCACAACGUUGGCGGAAUUCGUCGUGUAGCGGUGAAAUGCUUAGAUAUGACGAAGAACUCCGAUUGCGAAGGCAGCUGACGGGAGCGCAACUGACGCUUAAAGCUCGAAGGUGCGGUAUCGAACAGGAUU